Molecule: ribosomal RNA, 484 nt
Filed under: uncultured bacterium
Lineage: Bacteria
Description: partial 16S ribosomal RNA
Rfam family: Bacterial small subunit ribosomal RNA
Source: RNAcentral
AUUGAACGCUGGCGGAAUGCUUUACACAUGCAAGUCGAACGGCAGCGCGGGGGCAACCCUGGUGGCGAGUGGCGAACGGGUGAGUAAUACAUCGGAACGUGCCCGGUCGUGGGGGAUAACGUAGCGAAAGUUACGCUAAUACCGCAUACGAUCUGAGGAUGAAAGCGGGGGACCUUCGGGCCUCGCGCGAUCGGAGCGGCCGAUGUCAGAUUAGGUAGUUGGUGGGGUAAAGGCCUACCAAGCCGACGAUCUGUAGCUGGUCUGAGAGGACGACCAGCCACACUGGGACUGAGACACGGCCCAGACUCCUACGGGAGGCAGCAGUGGGGAAUUUUGGACAAAGGGCGCAAGCCUGAUCCAGCCAUUCCGCGUGCAGGACGAAGGCCUUCGGGUUGUAAACUGCUUUUGUAUGGAACGAAAAGGCUCUGGCUAAUACCUGGGGCUCAUGACGGUACCGUAAGAAUAAGCACCGGCUAACUACGUG